AUAUUGGACAAUGGUGGCAACCCUGAUCCAGCCAUCCCGCGUGUGCGACGAAGGCCUUCGGGUUUGAAAGCACUUUUUGCAGGAAAGAUAUCCCAUAGGAUAAUACCCUGUGUGGAUGACGGUACUUGCAGAAUAAGCACCCGCUAAGUAAGUGACAGCAGCAGCGGUAAUACGUAGGGUGCAAGCGUUAAUCGGAAUUACUGGGCGUAAAGCGUGCGCAGGCGGUUCGGAAAGAAAGAUGUGAAAUCCCAGGGCUUAACCUUGGAACUGCAUUUUUAACUACCGGGCUAGAGUGUGUCAGAGGGAGGUGGAAUUCCGCGUGUAGCAGUGAAAUGCGUAGAUAUGCGGAGGAACACCGAUGGCGAAGGCAGCCUCCUGGGAUAACACUGACGCUCAUGCACGAAAGCGUGGGGAGCAAAC
This 420-nucleotide ribosomal RNA is filed under the name uncultured bacterium. Its description in RNAcentral is "partial 16S ribosomal RNA". It matches the Rfam family "Bacterial small subunit ribosomal RNA", at positions 361 to 773 of the family's 1533-position model. The record is from RNAcentral.